This 85-nucleotide transfer RNA is filed under the name Candidozyma auris. Its description in RNAcentral is "[Candida] auris tRNA-Ser". It matches the Rfam family "tRNA". From Rfam's summary of the family: Transfer RNA (tRNA) molecules are approximately 80 nucleotides in length. The record is from RNAcentral. Lineage: Eukaryota; Fungi; Ascomycota; Pichiomycetes; Serinales; Metschnikowiaceae.
CUCUCGGUGGCCAAGCUGGCUAAGGCGCGAGACUGUAAUGUGAUUGUAAUCUUGAGAUCGGGUGUUCGACUCACCCCCGGGAGAC